This 117-nucleotide transfer RNA is filed under the name Aeriscardovia sp. Its description in RNAcentral is "tRNA-OTHER". It matches the Rfam family "tRNA". Rfam says of the family: Transfer RNA (tRNA) molecules are approximately 80 nucleotides in length. Their secondary structure includes four short double-helical elements and three loops (D, anti-codon, and T loops). The record is from RNAcentral. Lineage: Bacteria; Bacillati; Actinomycetota; Actinomycetes; Bifidobacteriales; Bifidobacteriaceae.
CGAGAAGUAGUUUAAUGGGAAAACACCGGAAUACGUCAAAGUGUCUUGUUAGACACAAACAGCAAUAAUAUUUGAUGACCGUGGCCGGAGACAGAGGUUCGAUUCCUCUCUUCUCGA